AGAGUUUGAUCCUGGCUCAGGAUGAACGCUGGCGGUAUGCCUAACACAUGCAAGUCGUACGAGAGUUUUUAACUCUAGUGGCGGACGGGUGAGUAACACGUGAGAAUUUGCCUUUAGGAGGGGGACAACAACUCGGAAACGAAUGCUAAUACCCCAUAUGCUUUCGAGUGAAAUGGAUUUUAUCCGCCUAGAGAGAAGCUCGCGGCUGAUUAGCUUGUUGGUAAGGUAAGAGCUUACCAAGGCGACGAUCAGUAUCUGGUUUGAGAGGACGAUCAGACACACUGGAACUGAGACACGGUCCAGACUCCUACGGGAGGCAGCAGUGGGGAAUUUUCCGCAAUGGGCGAAAGCCUGACGGAGCAAUACCGCGUGAGGGAAGAAUGCCUAUGGGUUGUAAACCUCUUUUUUCAGGGAGGAAUCAAAUGACGUGUACCUGAAGAAUAAGCAUCGGCUAACUCCGUGCCAGCAGCCGCGGUAAG
This 479-nucleotide ribosomal RNA is filed under the name uncultured bacterium. Its description in RNAcentral is "bacterial SSU rRNA". It matches the Rfam family "Bacterial small subunit ribosomal RNA", at positions 8 to 524 of the family's 1533-position model. The record is from RNAcentral.